CCUGAGGAUGAGUCUGCGGCCUAUCAGGUAGUAUGUGGUGUAAAGGACCACAUAGCCUAGGACGGGUACGGGCCCUGAAAGGGGGAGCCCGGAGAUGGACUCUGAGACACUAGUCCAGGCCCUACGGGGCGCAGCAGGCGCGAAAACUGUGCAAUGCGCGAAAGCGCGACACGGGAAACCUGAGUGCCUUGACAUUAGUCAAGGCUUUUAUUAAGCCUAAAAAGCUUAAGGAAUAAGAGCUGGGUAAGACGGGUGCCAGCCGCCGCGGUAACACCCGCAGCUCGAGUGGUGGUCACUUUUAUUGAGCCUAAAGCGUUCGUAGCCGGCUUCGUAAAUCUUCAGACAAAUUCUUCUGCUUAACAGAAGAUUCUCUGGAGAGACUGCGGAGCUUGGGACCGGGUGAGGUUGAAUGUACUUCUGGGGUAGGGGUAAAAUCCUGUAAUCCUGGAAGGACGACCGGUGGCGAAGGCGUUCAACUAGAACGGAUCCGACGGUGAGGAACGAGGGCUAGGGGAGCAAACCGGAUUAGAUACCCGGGUAGUCCUAGCUGUAAACACUGCCCACUUGGUGUUGCUUUUCCGAUUAAGGGAGAGCAGUGCCGGAGCGAAGGUGUUAAGUGGGCCGCUUGGGGAGUAUGGUCGCAAGGCUGAAACUUAAAGGAAUUGGCGGGGGAGCACCGCAACGGGAGGAGCGUGCGGUUUAAUUGGAUUCAACGCCG
Molecule: ribosomal RNA, 718 nt
Filed under: uncultured archaeon
Lineage: Archaea
Description: bacterial SSU rRNA
Rfam family: Archaeal small subunit ribosomal RNA
Source: RNAcentral